RNAcentral lists this ribosomal RNA (597 nucleotides) under Velkovrhia enigmatica. Its description in RNAcentral is "partial 16S ribosomal RNA". It matches the Rfam family "Bacterial large subunit ribosomal RNA", at positions 1833 to 2597 of the family's 2925-position model. Lineage: Eukaryota; Metazoa; Cnidaria; Hydrozoa; Anthoathecata; Bougainvilliidae. The record is from RNAcentral.
GCCCUUGUAAUAAUCAAAGGUGUGACCUGCCCAAUGGCUUUUAAAUUAUUAAAAAUAAACACUUUAAAAAAAAGCUUAAAGGACGCAGUAUAUUGACUGUGAUAAUGUAGCAUAAUCACUUGCCACUUAAUUAGUGGAUAGUAUGAACGGUUAAACGAAUAUAACAUUGUCUCCUUUAAAAAAUUCAUAAAAUUAAAAUAAUAGUAAAGAUGCUAUUUAGAACUGUAAGACGAAAAGACCCUAUAGAGCUUAACUAUAAUUUGUAAUAAAACUAAAAAAAUUCUUAAUUUUUAAAUAUACAAAUUGGUAGUUUAGUUGGGGCGACUAUCUUCUAUAAAAAACGAAGACAAGCAAUGUUAAUAAUAAAACUUAUUGUAUAAUAAAUAAAUUUAACAAUUAUAAAAGUAGGCUAUAAUGACCCAUUGAAAUAAAGUAAUAUAUUCAAUGAUUAAUAAAUAAAAGCUACCUUAGGGAUAACAGGAUAAUUUUGUUUUAGAGAUCUUAUCGAAAACAAAGUUUGUCACCUCUAUGUUGAAUUAAGAUAUCCAAGUAAUGCAGAAAUUACUAAAGGUAGGUCUGUUCGACCUAUAAAAUCUU